This is a long non-coding RNA of Portunus trituberculatus (swimming crab), 912 nucleotides long. RefSeq lists it as uncharacterized. The record is from RefSeq and is a predicted model, not a curated record. Lineage: Eukaryota; Metazoa; Arthropoda; Malacostraca; Decapoda; Portunidae. The transcript is spliced from 5 exons.
UGAGUGCUGGCUCUCUAACAAACAAAUGCCACAAACAACGGCUUUGAGAUAGGAGAUACCCCAAAAAGUAUCCCCUUUAGCUCAGAAAUUCCCGUAUACCAAAGAAAAAUAAGAAAAACACGAUUGAAGACAAGCAAAUACCACAAGUUUCUUCCCUAUACAUGACAAGCUUCACUGAAUGGUUGAGUUGAGCUUCACGAACCAUUUCAAAGACUCGAGCAUCUCCUCGCUGAGUUGCCAGCCUCGUGUGCGUGAUGGUGGCGGGGGCUGUGAGUGAGUAAUGGAGCGUGUUAUAUCCGCAUUAAUCUUGCGUUAGAGACACGAUCUGGUGGUGGCUCAUGUUUUUGUGGUUGUACUGGUGAUGAGAAGAUAGUGACGGUGUGGUGGAGGCGUGGAGAAGGUAGAUAAAUUGUCUGGUGGACGGAAAAGUGAGGAGAGCGACUCACUACUGUGAUGGAGGAAAUGGACAAGAACAUCCCUUGAUAUUCCGGGCGGCACAGAUCGCCAUCCGCUGCUUCGGUGAGAAACGCCAGAUGAACGUGAGAAAUCCGCUCUACACUCCAGAGCUGGUGCACAUUGCUACAAAGAGAGGACUCCAUUGCAACUCAGGCUUUACCCUUGGGAAAACUGGCAGUUUUAUCCUACUGGAUUCAGCAAGUCCAGCCUGCACUACAACAACACAAACAAGAAAGUGUCUGCCUCUGACAGCUCCGUGACUCCGCCCCCGGCGCCCCGCCGUCCAUGGACUCCAUUGAGUCAGCCCCGUCAUGUUUUCCGCUUUCCUCGCCGUCUCAGCUGUCACGCAGCCCCUGACUCGCCACACAGCGCAGGACACGCUGACACGCUGCGUGUUGUGGUGCGACACACGCGACACACUACCUGCUGUGUACUAGACACUCGCCCCACGUCUAC